Molecule: ribosomal RNA, 495 nt
Filed under: uncultured bacterium
Lineage: Bacteria
Description: partial 16S ribosomal RNA
Rfam family: Bacterial small subunit ribosomal RNA
Source: RNAcentral
UGCACGCUGGCGGCGUGCCUAAUACAUGCAAGUCGAGCGACCAGACGAGGAGCUUGCUCCUCUGACGUUAGCGGCGGACGGGUGAGUAACACGUGGAUAACCUACCUAUAAGACUGGGAUAACUUCGGGAAACCGGAGCUAAUACCGGAUAAUAUAUUGAACCGCAUGGUUCAAUAGUGAAAGACGGUUUUGCUGUCACUUAUAGAUGGAUCCGCGCCGCAUUAGCUAGUUGGUAAGGUAACGGCUUACCAAGGCAACGAUGCGUAGCCGACCUGAGAGGGUGAUCGGCCACACUGGAACUGAGACACGGUCCAGACUCCUACGGGAGGCAGCAGUAGGGAAUCUUCCGCAAUGGGCGAAAGCCUGACGGAGCAACGCCGCGUGAGUGAUGAAGGUCUUCGGAUCGUAAAACUCUGUUAUUAGGGAAGAACAAAUGUGUAAGUAACUAUGCACGUCUUGACGGUACCUAAUCAGAAAGCCACGGCUAACUACGUG